GAAUGCUGUGCCGGUGCAGAGAAGGCAAAGACUGAGUGGAGACGUUCUCCUCUCUCCUGACCUCCAGGACAAGGACGGCGUAGAUGUCCCUGGACCCUCUUCACUUGGUUUUCCUCAAAUGGCUCAGGAUUGCAUGUGGACCUUGGUCUAUAGAGUACAGGCCAGCAAGGCUGAAGGCAUCCCUUCCCUGCGGGAAUAAGCACUCUCUCCCCAAUUCCUUGUUGAACUGCGCACCUUCUCCAAAUAGAUGUUGACGUGCCAACCUUCAGUACUUCAGCACUUGAUUGUUUGGAGCUCCCUCUUCAAGCAGUGACACUUGGCGUGCAGAGGAAGUGAGAUGGCUAAGAGAAGCCUGUGGACUUGGCUCAACGAUCCAACCCCCUUACCUUCCAAGAGCUGUCAGAGGCCCGGACCAGGGUGGACAGCAGGUCCUGGAGAAUCACCAUUUUCUGUUUUAGGACCAGCUCUCUGUGCAGGGCCUCCUGGGAGGAAGAACAAAAUGCAGGAGGCAGUCUUGCCGAAACAGGAAGCAGACAAGCCGCAGUGUUCGCAAACCCAAGUUCCUCUCCCUUGCUCUCUGAACCAUCUGAGAGGCCCCUGCACCCUGGGCCCCCAGGGCUGCUGAAGAGCUCCACCCAGCCGCCCGUGUCUCCUGCUGCCCCAUUGGCCUGUUUCAGCAGUUUCAGGUCAAGACCCACUUCCAGGAUUAGUAAAGGAUGGACCACUGGGUGGGAUUCAACCUGCCAUUUCUGCGAAGGAGAAGAAAUGCAUUGUGGUGGUAAGACCUAAAAGAGAUUCCCUGUGUAGAUGCCACGUGUCCCAGCUAGUGAUCUGCAUGGGGACACCCCCUUUUGUCACCUCUUUCCAAUCCUGAUAUUGGGUAGUUUCUGCUUAUCUGUAGUACCCGGUGUCUUGUCUGUACCUAGGUUACUUACUCUAUAUUUGCUGUUUUAUGAAGCA
Long non-coding RNA from Jaculus jaculus (lesser Egyptian jerboa), 960 nucleotides. RefSeq lists it as uncharacterized. NCBI's taxonomy places the organism in Eukaryota, Metazoa, Chordata, Mammalia, Rodentia, Dipodidae. The record is from RefSeq and is a predicted model, not a curated record. The transcript has 4 exons.